This 502-nucleotide long non-coding RNA is filed under the name Salvia miltiorrhiza (redroot sage). Its description in RNAcentral is "long non-coding RNA (SMIL_LNC004793)". The record is from RNAcentral. Lineage: Eukaryota; Viridiplantae; Streptophyta; Magnoliopsida; Lamiales; Lamiaceae.
ACCGUUGUCUCUCCUAAUAUGAAAAGGCCUCAAUUCUUGUUGUAUUUAAGUAGCAUUAUCAUUCUUGUGUCCGCCAAAAGAAAUCAUUACAAAAUGAAGAUGUGAGGGUUGAGUUGAACAAGAUUAUGGAUGCGCGGUCGGUGGCGUGUAGAGCAAGCAAGGCUGAUAAAGGCGGCGGAAGAUCCCCUGCAACCUACAAACCGCGGCAGUUGACGGCGGAGGACUUGAAAAACUGGAAGGAGGGAGUAGGAGAUGAGAGAGAAAAGGUUGUGGGAAUAGGAAUUUGAUGCAUUAAAUAUAGGCCAAGCCUCGAGCAAUUACAUCAAUUCACAACAUCAUUGUGGCUAUAAAGGAGUAACUACUUACCUUGAAGAAUGAUGAUUCCUGAUUUAUGAUUCCAAAACAUACCAUUCUAAGCAUUGCAUCUACCAACUCGUUUUCAUUUCAAGCGCUUGGCAUCGCAAACAACUUGAAAGACUCCUGCUCCACCUACUCCUCUUGA